GUAUGUCUUGGCUGGAGGAGCCUAAGAGACUUUCUCUCUAAGCUUGUCUACGGAUGUUUCGGCCGAAGUUCCGAACUGAUGGGGAAUGGCCAGGCUGUGCUUCAGUGGUCCCUCAGAAGUCCACCAUUCCCAUUCUCAGCUCCAGCCCUCAGGAUGGGAUGAACACCUUCCAACUCUGGGCCUGGAGACCCUGGCAUAGUGCUCUUGGCUGGUGGCUUUCCCUUCCUGGCUGCCAUUUCCUCUCUGGGAAGUUGGGGGAGGCAGAAAUGAAUCACCUUAAAGGGCCUCGUUGGCAGCGGUGCCCUGCAAAGCCUGCGUCCUUCCUCAGCCUCAUGGUCUGAGGCCCUUGAAGCCACGAUCUGUCCAGUCUUCCCCUUCUCCUUGUUUGGGCAUUCCUGUUCCUUUAAGACAGUGCCCCUGUCACUCCUCCAGGUGGUGGCGGGGACAGGCCAGCCAGCACCGAAAGGCUUGAUAUUGGCCUAAGAAGGUGGGUGCUUGCCCAGGUGGGGGUGCCUGGUGAUGUGACCCCCAACACGCAUACCCCCUUGUCUGAGCCCCCCAAACUCCCCCAGGUCACCACAGGAUUCUGCUUCAGGGAGGGUUAUUGGACCCAUGAAAUGGGGGAGGCAGGGAGCACCGUGUCCUUAAGCCACCCGAGAGGCCACCCUCCCCCCAAGUGCAGGCAGAAGAAAGGAUGAGCUGGUGGGGGCGGCUAGAUCCUGCAGUGCCAUCCACCCCUGCUGGCCUACCCACCCCCAAAAGUGGGGCUCCCCUUUCCUUUGCCCCACUGUCUGCUUGGGAACUUGGGCGCCAGACAGGGAAGCAACCGUGAGAACCCUUGCAGCGGUCCAUGUGCCUCACUGUGCACUUAGGAAACUGAGCCCCAGACAGAAGGACUUGAGGCCAGGGCUGCUUCCACGAGGCUGCUGCUUCACCUCACUGACCUCGCACCGUUCUCUCACGGAACCUUCCUCGUCUCUGCCCCCGUUUCCUCCCCUGCCCACGCCCCACGCCACCCUCUGUCUGCUCCUCCCGCCGCUACCCUAGUAGUGACCAACAGACGCCCCUAUCCCAGAGCAGGGGUGGGGGUGGGGGGUUCGGAGCAGCUGCUUCUCUGAGGAAGCUGACACCGAGGCCAGCCGCUCAGCAACAGCUUGUGG
This is a long non-coding RNA of Bos taurus (domestic cattle), 1160 nucleotides long. The record is from Ensembl. NCBI's taxonomy places the organism in Eukaryota, Metazoa, Chordata, Mammalia, Artiodactyla, Bovidae.